UUUGCAAAUAUCUUCUCCCAUUCCGUGGGUUGCCUCUUUCAGAGUUUAAUAGAUCAUAAAAGCAGAAAAUCAGUAGAGAAACAAGAGCAUUGCAUGACACAUUGGAACAGAGGGACCUCAUAGAUAUAUACAGAACAUUCCACCCUAAAACAACAGAAUACU
Molecule: long non-coding RNA, 162 nt
Organism: Lutra lutra (Eurasian river otter)
Lineage: Eukaryota; Metazoa; Chordata; Mammalia; Carnivora; Mustelidae
Exons: 3
Source: RefSeq, a predicted model, not a curated record